UAGCUCAGUUGGUAGAGUGCUUGCCUUACAUGCGCAAGACCCUGGGUUCAAUCCCCAG
This 58-nucleotide transfer RNA is filed under the name Ictidomys tridecemlineatus (thirteen-lined ground squirrel). RNAcentral's name for it is "Spermophilus tridecemlineatus (thirteen-lined ground squirrel) tRNA". It matches the Rfam family "tRNA", at positions 8 to 63 of the family's 71-position model. From Rfam's summary of the family: Transfer RNA (tRNA) molecules are approximately 80 nucleotides in length. Their secondary structure includes four short double-helical elements and three loops (D, anti-codon, and T loops). Further hydrogen bonds mediate the characteristic L-shaped molecular structure. tRNAs have two regions of fundamental functional importance: the anti-codon, which is responsible for specific mRNA codon recognition, and the 3' end, to which the tRNAs corresponding amino acid is attached (by aminoacyl-tRNA synthetases). tRNAs cope with the degeneracy of the genetic code in two manners: having more than one tRNA (with a specific anti-codon) for a particular amino acid; and 'wobble' base-pairing, i.e. permitting non-standard base-pairing at the 3rd anti-codon position. Lineage: Eukaryota; Metazoa; Chordata; Mammalia; Rodentia; Sciuridae. The record is from Rfam by way of RNAcentral.